This 253-nucleotide ribosomal RNA is filed under the name uncultured bacterium. RNAcentral describes it as "partial 16S ribosomal RNA". It matches the Rfam family "Bacterial small subunit ribosomal RNA", at positions 524 to 776 of the family's 1533-position model. The record is from RNAcentral.
UACGGGGGGAGCAAGCGUUGUUCGGAUUUACUGGGCGUAAAGGGCGCGUAGGCGGCGUGACAAGUCACUUGUGAAAUCUCCGGGCUUAACUCGGAGCGGUCAAGUGAUACUGUCGUGCUAGAGUGCGGAAGGGGCUACUGGAAUUCUCGGUGUAGCGGCGAAAUGCGUAGAUAUCGAGAGGAACACCUGCGGCGAAGGCGGGUAGCUGGGCCGACACUGACGCUGAUGCGCGAAAGCCAGGGGAGCGAACGGG